Molecule: ribosomal RNA, 253 nt
Filed under: uncultured bacterium
Lineage: Bacteria
Description: partial 16S ribosomal RNA
Rfam family: Bacterial small subunit ribosomal RNA
Source: RNAcentral
CACGGGGGGAGCAAGCGUUGUUCGGAAUCACUGGGCGUAAAGGGCGUGCAGGCGGUCAGGUAAGUGGGAUGUGAAAUGCCCCGGCUCACCCGGGGACCGGCAUCUCAUACUGCUUGGCUUGAGUACGGGAGAGGAUGUGGGAAUUCCUGGUGUAGCGGUGAAAUGCGUAGAUAUCAGGAGGAACACCGGUGGCGAAGGCGGGUCUCUGGGCAGUAACUGACGCUGAGGAGCGAAAGCGUGGGGAGCGAACAGG